RNAcentral lists this ribosomal RNA (869 nucleotides) under uncultured eukaryote. Its description in RNAcentral is "SSU rRNA". It matches the Rfam family "Eukaryotic small subunit ribosomal RNA", at positions 576 to 1466 of the family's 1831-position model. The record is from RNAcentral.
GCGGUAAUUCCAGCUCCAAUAGCGUAUAUUAAAGUUGUUGCGGUUAAAAAGCUCGUAGUUGGAUCUCGGCGGGCAGGGGGUGGUUCGCUCUUCAGCGCUACUGCCCCGCUUUGCCCGUGUGAUUGGCGGAGGUUUCGGGGUGCUCUUCGUUGAGUGACUCGGAGCGCCGUCAGGUUUACUUUGAAAAAAUUAGAGUGCUCAAAGCAGGCUUUUCACGCUUGAAUAUUCGUGCAUGGAAUAAUGGAAUAGGAACUCGUUUCUAUUUUGUUGGUUUUCGGAAAUCGAGUUAAUGAUUAACAGGGACAAUUGGGGGCAUUAGUAUUCAGACGACAGAGGUGAAAUUCUUGGACCGUCUGAAGACUGACUACUGCGAAAGCAUUUGCCAAGAGUGUUUUCAUUAAUCAAGAACGAAAGUUAGAGGUUCGAAGGCGAUCAGAUACCGCCCUAGUUCUAACCAUAAACGAUGCCAGCUAGCGAUCUGCCGAGUUUUUUUUGUAGGCUCCGCAGGAAGCUUUCGGGAAACCAAAGCUUUUGGGUUCCGGGGGAAGUAUGGUUGCAAAGCUGAAACUUAAAGGAAUUGACGGAAGGGCACCACCAGGAGUGGAGCCUGCGGCUUAAUUUGACUCAACACGGGAAAUCUCACCAGGCCCGGACACUGGAAGGAUUGACAGAUUGAGAGCUCUUUCUCGAUUCGGUGGGUGGUGGUGCAUGGCCGUUCUUAGUUGGUGGAGUGAUUUGUCUGGUUAAUUCCGAUAACGAACGAGACUCUGUCCUGCUAAAUAGUUGGGUCGUCCUUCGUGCGAUCCAAGUUCUUCUUAGAGGGACUGGCUGCGUCUAGCAGCACGAGAUUGAGCAAUAACAGGUCUGUG